UAACCACGGAUGGCCAUGACCGCGAUGGU
This 29-nucleotide small RNA is filed under the name Bombyx mori (domestic silkworm). RNAcentral's name for it is "ovarian small RNA-1818". Lineage: Eukaryota; Metazoa; Arthropoda; Insecta; Lepidoptera; Bombycidae. The record is from RNAcentral.